AGCCCUUCGGGGUGUAAACUCCUUUUCUCAGGGAAAAAAGCUGAUGGUACCUGAGGAAUAAGCCCCGGCUAACUACGUGCCAGCAGCCGCGGUAAUACGUAGGGGGCGAGCGUUACCCGGAAUUACUGGGCGUAAAGGGUGCGUAGGCGGCCGUGUGUGUCUGGCGUUAAAAUCCACGGCUCAACUGUGGGUAUGCGCUGGAAACUGCACGGCUUGGGUGCAGCAGAGGCAGACGGAACUGCUGGUGUAGGGGUGAAAUCCGUAGAUAUCAGCAGGAACGCCGGUGGAGAAGUCGGUCUGCUGGGCUGUAACCGACGCUGAGGCACGAAAGCUAGGGGAGCAAACCGGAU
RNAcentral lists this ribosomal RNA (350 nucleotides) under uncultured Fervidobacterium sp. Its description in RNAcentral is "bacterial SSU rRNA". It matches the Rfam family "Bacterial small subunit ribosomal RNA", at positions 412 to 778 of the family's 1533-position model. The record is from RNAcentral. Lineage: Bacteria; Thermotogati; Thermotogota; Thermotogae; Thermotogales; Fervidobacteriaceae.